Molecule: ribosomal RNA, 503 nt
Filed under: uncultured bacterium
Lineage: Bacteria
Description: bacterial SSU rRNA
Rfam family: Bacterial small subunit ribosomal RNA
Source: RNAcentral
AUUGAACGCUGGCGGCAUGCCUUACACAUGCAAGUCGAACGGUAACAGGUCUUCGGAUGCUGACGAGUGGCGAACGGGUGAGUAAUACAUCGGAACGUGCCCGAUCGUGGGGAUAACGCAGCGAAAGCUGUGCUAAUACCGCAUACGAUCUACGGAUGAAAGCGGGGGAUCGCAAGACCUCGCGCGGACGGAGCGGCCGAUGGCAGAUUAGGUAGUUGGUGGGAUAAAAGCUUACCAAGCCGACGAUCUGUAGCUGGUCUGAGAGGACGACCAGCCACACUGGGACUGAGACACGGCCCAGACUCCUACGGGAGGCAGCAGUGGGGAAUUUUGGGACAAUGGGCGCAAGCCUGAUCCAGCCAUGCCGCGUGCAGGAUGAAGGCCUUCGGGUUGUAACUAGCUUUGUACGGUAACGAAAAGAACUACUGGUUAAUACCUGGGGUCCGAUGACGGUACCGUAAGAAUAAGCACCGGCUAACUACGUAGCCAGCAGCCGCGGUAAU